RNAcentral lists this long non-coding RNA (1070 nucleotides) under Mytilus galloprovincialis (Mediterranean mussel). Lineage: Eukaryota; Metazoa; Mollusca; Bivalvia; Mytilida; Mytilidae. The record is from RNAcentral.
GUAUUCAUAGAGACAGUCAGUUCUCAUCAUAUUAAAUUUGAAAUUGCAUUGAUGGGUUAGUUCCAUUAUUAUUCAUUGUUUUCUUACAUAAUGAUCCAUAUAAUUAUGAUAUCAGUUAGAAAAUAUACUUUAUUCGAAGUAUAUUUAUGUUCAAGGUAUACAGAAAACACAAACCUGAAGUAUAACCUGACUUACAAUUUUGCCCUCUGACGGACACUUUAGCCGAACACCUUUUUUCGCGUUUUUCUCCAAAAAUAACUCAAUCUGAAUAUUCAUAUGAAUGAAUGACAAAUGCGACUAUGCACUGUACCUAUAAUACACAGAGGCAUGAUGAUUAAUUUGUUGUGGAAAAAAAGAGAAGCGACACACAAAAUGAGGUCUUCUCGUUUAAUAGUAUAGAUACAUGUAUGCAUGUCAACCUUUCUAGUGUAUCCAUUGCAUAAAAAAAAAAGUUAUGUCCAAGUCACACCCAUUUUGUAUUUCCUGUCUCUUCUAAAUACAUUUAAAUCAAACUACAUGCACACUACAUGUUGAUUGUGUAAUAACAAAAAUGUUGUUAUAUCUUGAAGAUUGCAGAACGUAUGAAAUAAUCCAGCAGAAAUGGUCAUAAUAUUUCCCAGUUAGUUAAAGAUAGUGAGAAACCGGUCAUAUUUUAUGACUGGAAUACAUACCUGCAGCAGUAUUUUAAAACACAUAAGCAUAUUAGUACUUAUCACCACUUCAUAGUUGAUUCAAGCAAACCAGGAUAUGUUGUUUUUAAAGAUUCAUGUGACUCUGUUCAUAUAGCCAUCAAUUUGUUAAAAAAGAACACUAGAAUUUCAAAUUUACUAUGCCAAACACUUUAACAUCAGAAGGAUUAGAUGCAGACAGUGGUAUUUGUACGAACAAAUCAGGGAAUAUUGUUAUAGCGAGGCUAAUAAAGAUGUCAUUUGUCAAAAGCCAACAAUUGCCAAAAGUGAGGUUGACUUGACCAGUGAUGUGGAUACCAAUAAACACAAAUGUCCAUCAAGGAAGCAGAAUCUACUUAAUUAAAAUACCACAAAUAUAUUUUUGUCUUCUUUUCUCAUUUA